AUGCGGUAUGCCACACCGCUCCUUCGUAUGCAGAGUAUGCCAUGCUUGACUAUGCCAAAGGAAGCUGUUCUCCCUCAGCUUAAGAGUGUCGAGAGGAGACUGCCUAAGAAUCCAGAUCAGGCAUCCGCCUACCAGGCUGAGAUCACCAAACUUAAGGAAAUGGGUUAUGUGGCCAAGCUGGAACCGAGAGAGGAGGAUAGUUCCACAGAAUCAUGGUACAUUCCGCACCAUAUGGUUCAUCACAACAACAAGAACCGGGUCGUCUACAACUGCUCCUUUCAGUUUGAAGGCCACAGCCUUAACGAGUUCCUCCUUCCAGGACCCACACUAGGCUCCUCACUGCUAGCAGUCCUGCUCCGCUUUCGAGAACACUCGGUCGCCAUAAGCAGUGAUAUUCGCGGUAUGUUCCACCAGGUGAGGCUGCUCCCUGGUGACAUGCCAUUGCUCCGAUUCCUGUGGCGAGACUUGAAACCUGAGCGACCCCCUGACGUGUACCAGUGGCAGGUGCUCCCAUUUGGCACCACGUGCAGUCCCUGCUGUGCCACUUAUGCCUUGCAGAGACACGUCAUGGAUCACAGUCAGCCGGGAGACCAAUUCAGAGAGGUAAUUCAGAGAUCAUUUUACGUUGACAAUUGCCUGCACAGUCUUCACUCCCCCCAAGAGGCUAGAGACCUAGUUGAUCAACUUCGAGCACUCCUAGCCACCGGAGGCUUCGAGCUUCGACAGUGGGCCAGCAAUUGUCCAUCUGUAAUUACUCACCUCCCCCCUGAAGCCAGAUCCAGUACCUGUGACCUCUGGCUCAGUCAAGGCCAACAAGACGUCCACGAGUCUACACUUGGACUGCAGUGGCAUUGCCAGUCCGAUACUCUACGUUACAAGCACCGAUCCAGAUGCUCUUCUUCUGUAACAAUGCGUCAGAUCUACCGAGUACUAGCAAGCCAAUAUGAUCCUCUUGGAUAUCUCAUCCCUUACACCACCCGGGCUAAGAUACUAGUACAGCGCCUGUGGGACAAGAAGCGCGACUGGGACGACCCACAGUUGCCUAAGGAACUGCUUGCAUCAUGGGACAAAUGGGAGAAGGAGUUGAGUAGACUAAAGGAAAUAUCUCUGCCCAGGUGCUAUUCUCAAUCUCAGAAAGAUCACCCAUACUGUAGAUACGACAUUCAUGUGUUAUGUGAUGCCUCGGAGCAGGCAUACGGUUCAGUGGCCUACCUGCGAAUAGAGCACAAAGAGGGUCAAGUUGAAGUUGCCUUCGUUGCUGCCAGGUCCCGGGUAGCACCUCGCAAGCAACAAUCCAUACCACGCUUAGAGUUGUGUGCUGCUCUUAAUGGAGCACAGCUAUCCCAGCUUCUAACUGCAGAGCUUACAAUUCCUAUCUGUUCCACUACACUCUGGUCUGACUCCACCACUGUGCUUACGUGGUUGACAUCCAGCUCAUGUCGCUACAAGGUGUUUGUGGGAACAAGGGUAGCAGAGAUCCAAGAGAUGACAGCUUCCACCAUCUGGCGCUUCGUCAGAUCUUCAGACAACCCAGUAGAUGACAUCACUCGUGGCAAGCCUCUUGGAGACCUCUCCAGAGAAAGCAGGUGGAGCCAGGGGCCGGCAUUCCUUAAGCUUCCAUCAGAUAGUUGGCCUGUGCAGCCUCGUUUAUCAUUUGAAGAGCCAAGCUGCGAACUAAGAAAACCAUUAUUCACUGUGUUAGUGACCACUACUACACCCUCACCUAAGCUGCAGCACUACGACACACUGGCAGAGUGCCUAAAUGCCUAUGGGCAAGAGCUUCACGGGGCGGCCUACACCUCCAGUGCAGAUCUCCAAAGGGAUGUUCAACAUGCAAUCCUCUGUCAAGCUCAAGCAGAGUCCUUCCCAGAUGAGCUGAGACUUCUGAAGUCUGGGAAACCCAUAUUAUCUACAAGCAGGCUGAUCACACUCUCCCCGGAGCUUGACGCUGCGACUGGACUUAUUCGCGUAGGAGGUCGUCUGCGCCACUGUGAGGUACUGGAAGAGGACGCUGUACAUCCAGCUAUUCUUGACCCUCGACAUCCAAUCACUGUGUUAAUCAUAAAGGAUUAUGAUGAGAGGCUACAUCAUCCAGGUACAGAGAGGUUGUUUGCAGAAAUCAGGAGGAUGUACUGGAUACUAAGAGGUCGUGAAGCUGUCCGUCGGUACCAACGCCAGUGUACAGAGUGUAGGAAGUGGAGAGGACGCCCAGAAGUACCUCUCAUGGCUGACCUGCCCCUCACCAGACAGAGAUAUUUCCGUCCAGCCUUCUACUCAUCUGGCAUGGACUGUUUUGGCCCCUUCCUCAUUAAGAUCGGCCAACGUAAUGAGAAGAGGUGGGGCAUAGUCUUUAAGUGCAUGACCACACGGGCAAUCCAUCUUGAUCUUCUCAGUAGUCUUGAUUCUGACUCUUUCCUGAUGGCUCUACGACGGAUCAUUGCUAGACGUGGCAAACCAUACGAGUUAUUGUGUGACCAAGGCACAAACUUUAAGGGAGGAGAACGUGAACUGAAUGAUGCCUUCGCCACCCUCCAAGAUGAGCUACAGAGCCGGGUGCUGGGAGAGGGAGAUCCGCUCCAUUAA
Molecule: long non-coding RNA, 2583 nt
Organism: Carassius auratus (goldfish)
Lineage: Eukaryota; Metazoa; Chordata; Actinopteri; Cypriniformes; Cyprinidae
Source: Ensembl